This 573-nucleotide long non-coding RNA is filed under the name Cricetulus griseus (Chinese hamster). Its description in RNAcentral is "lncRNA (ENSCGRG00000025594.1)". Lineage: Eukaryota; Metazoa; Chordata; Mammalia; Rodentia; Cricetidae. The record is from RNAcentral.
CAUUCCACGCUCCCCAGUGCCAGGGCUCAGGGAAAAGGAAAUGAAAACACCAGCACAGAAACAUGAAGCAAGAACACAGGCUCCCUGACAACCAGCGCUGGGUGGGGAUGGGAAGAGCCCCAAAUCUGGACUCCUCCGCUUGCCGGCCGCUGAGAGACAUUCUUUCCCUUUCCUUCCUUUUCUCUUCUUCAGACUCUGAGCUUCAGCAGUUUUGAAUGACUGGAACCUCCCUACUCACCCCUGGGACGUCAUUCCUGCAGGAUUGUGGCAAACUAGUAUUUCAGGUUCCCUUGGCAACCUUGCUGCCCUAUCUCCUGAGAACUGCACUUCUCCAGGACCUGAGGAGACCGGACUUGUCGGUCUCCAGGAAACCUCUGAACCAGUUUUCUCCUCCCUUGGAACUGCCUAAAGAAACUGAGAGGCCUGUUAUGCAAUCACCAAGGAAAUUACCUGGCCAGAACAUCCUAUGGCAAAGCCCACCAGCAAUAAGCAUUACUCUACACCUUAUAUUAUCCAACUGUUUUUUCUUGAUUAUGCAUGUACACACCUAGACCAUCCAAUAUGAGCAUACUC